This 774-nucleotide ribosomal RNA is filed under the name uncultured Neocallimastigales. RNAcentral's name for it is "partial large subunit ribosomal RNA". It matches the Rfam family "Eukaryotic large subunit ribosomal RNA", at positions 22 to 644 of the family's 3401-position model. Lineage: Eukaryota; Fungi; Neocallimastigomycota; Neocallimastigomycetes; Neocallimastigales. The record is from RNAcentral.
CAUAGCGACUAUCGUGGCAUAUCAAUAAGCGGAGGAAAAGAAACUAACAAGGAUUCCCUUAGUAACGGCGAGUGAAGCGGGAAGAGCUCAAAUUUGAAAUCUUCAAGGUUUUACCUUGACGAAUUGUAGUUUAAAGAAGUGUUUUCUGUUGGAGUUUUGGUAAAAGUUCUUUGGAAUAGGACAUCAUAGAGGGUGAGAAUCCCGUAUUUGAUCACUUUCUACUAACGUUGUGAUACACUUUCAAAGAGUCGGAUUGUUUGGGAAUGCAGUCCAAAAUGGGUGGUAAAUUUCAUCUAAAGCUAAAUAUUGGCGAGAGACCGAUAGCGAACAAGUACCGUGAGGGAAAGAUGAAAAGAACUUUGAAAAGAGAGUUAAACAGUACGUGAAAUUGUCAAAAGGGAAGCGUUUGACACCAGUGUUGUUUUUCCGAAAAUCAAUUAUGAAUGGCUUGAUUUUAAGUUUCAUGACCUUAAAAGCUUGUUUCUUAUUUUUCAUGUCUUUCGUAAUGCACUUUUCGGUUAACAAGUCAACAUCAAUUUCUUUUGUUGUAAAAGGUUAAGAGGAAGGUGGCUUUACUUUCGGGUAAAGUGUUUAUAGCCUUUUAACUCUGCAAUCGGAGAGAUUGAGGUCUGCAGCGUAGAUCCUUCGGGGUUAGAUACAUUUGUGCUAAGUUAUAGCUUUUCAUAGACAACUUGUUGACUAUGUUAAGUCUUGUAAUUUACUCGCAGAUGCUAUUUUACCUACGCUUAGGAUGUUGAAGAUAUGCGCGACACG